ACAAGCGGUGGAUGAUGUGGUUUAAUUCGAUGCAACGCGAAAACCUUACCACCUUUGACAUGGCAGGAAUCCUGAAGAGAUUGGGAGUGCUCGAAAGAGAACCUGCACACAGGUGCUGCAUGGCUGUCGUCAGCUCGUGUCGUGAGAUGUUGGGUUAAGUCCCGCAACGAGCGCAACCCUUGCCAUUAGUUGCUACGAAAGGGCACUCUAAUGGGACUGCCGGUGACAAACCGGAGGAAGGUGGGGAUGACGUCAAGUCCUCAUGGCCCUUAUAGGUGGGGCUACACACGUCAUACAAUGGCCGGUACAGAGGGUAGCCAACCCGCGAGGGGGAGCCAAUCCCACAAAGCCGGUCGUAGUCCGGAUCGCAGUCUGCAACUCGACUGCGUGAAGUCGGAAUCGCUAGUAAUCGCGGAUCAGCAUGUCGCGGUGAAUACGUUCCCGGGUCUU
Molecule: ribosomal RNA, 450 nt
Filed under: uncultured Allobrachymonas sp.
Lineage: Bacteria; Pseudomonadati; Pseudomonadota; Betaproteobacteria; Burkholderiales; Comamonadaceae
Description: bacterial SSU rRNA
Rfam family: Bacterial small subunit ribosomal RNA
Source: RNAcentral